This 253-nucleotide ribosomal RNA is filed under the name uncultured bacterium. RNAcentral's name for it is "partial 16S ribosomal RNA". It matches the Rfam family "Bacterial small subunit ribosomal RNA", at positions 524 to 776 of the family's 1533-position model. The record is from RNAcentral.
UACGUAGGGGGCAAGCGUUAAUCGGAAUUACUGGGCGUAAAGCGUGCGCAGGCGGUUUUGUAAGACUGCCGUGAAAUCCCCGGGCUUAACCUGGGAAUGGCGAUGGUGACUGCAAGGCUAGAGUUUGGCAGAGGGGGGUAGAAUUCCACGUGUAGCAGUGAAAUGCGUAGAUAUGUGGAGGAACACCGAUGGCGAAGGCAGCCCCCUGGGUCAACACUGACGCUCAUGCACGAAAGCGUGGGGAGCAAACAGG